UGACGUAUGGUCGGUGGAUGAAUGCCUGAAUGCAAUUUUUGGCGUUUGCACAGCAUUGCCAUCGCAGGAGUCAGGAAUCAGCAAAUGUUUCCGGUGGGAACAAUCGGUAGUACUUCUCAAGGAUUGGCCAAGUUUGGAUCGAUUGAGCAAAACAAGGUGAUAAAAGUCGGUGCCUCCUGUCUACAGAUACAUGGGACCCGUAAUCUCCUCUAGCUUGAUUCCUCAAAAGCAUCCCCCGGCCAUGAGUGA
Molecule: long non-coding RNA, 249 nt
Organism: Oryza brachyantha (malo sina)
Lineage: Eukaryota; Viridiplantae; Streptophyta; Magnoliopsida; Poales; Poaceae
Exons: 3
Source: RefSeq, a predicted model, not a curated record